AGACUGCUGUGCUAGCAAUCAGCGAGACUCCCUGUGAGUAGGACCCUCCGAGCCAGGUGCGGCUUAUAAUCUCGUGGUGCGCCGUUUUUUAAGCCGGUCGGAAAAGCGCAGUAUUCGGGUGGGAGUGACCCGAUUUUCCAGGUUGAUUUUUGAGUAGUGAACCAGCUUUGCAUUCCUGGGCAAUGCUUCCACACAGGACAUAGUUCAGAAGGCAUUAGAAGGCAUAGAGUAAAAAGAAUCUUGUUCUGUUGUUUAGGCUGGAGUGCAGUGGCGUGAUCUUGGCUCACUGCAACCUCUGCCUCCUGAGCUCAAGUGAUCCUCACACUUCAGCCUCCUGAGCAACUGAAACUACAGUGAAUAAGAAUGGUCUUCUUACAUAAUGCAGGGAUGGAAGAAGAUACUUGGAAAAAUCAGGGAAGAGUGAAGAAGAUACUUCAAAAAAUCGGGGAAGAUUUUCAUCAUAAGGUCCAAGCAAAGAUUCCUGAGCCUGAGUCUACUGACAAAUAUACCACAUCCCCAGAGUAAGUUGGAGUCUCUUAAAAUUGUCUUGCUGGCAUCUAGCGGAGAUUGUCCCCACAAGCAUGUUCCUUAUGACGGAUGCCUGGGUCAGAACACAUAAUACAUUCCUUUUUAUAAGCACAAAGAUUCUGAGAAGCACUGCCCCUCCCACGUGUCACACUCUGGGGAGAGAUUAUUGGAAUGCCUCUUGGAUCAGGUAUCUUUGGUGAUCAUUCCACCUAGUUAAGAUGAAGCUGGUGAUAGCCUUUGGCUUGUUUCAGGUAAUGUAACCAGAUUUUCCAGUGACUUGUGAAUUAACAGGCUAAAAACUAGUUUUCAGUUUCUGGAGAAGGGUUCCCAAUCUCAUUUGAGGCUAUUGGAGGAAAAAUCCCUUCAGAAAAUAAAGCAUGACAGUAAGAUUUUAGUAUGCAGGAAGUAAAUUCAGUUCCUUUGGAGAUCAGCAUGCCUCUAUUCAAUCCUCUCCUUAAUCCCUUAUGAGUCAGAUCUAGUAGAGGGUUGGACCAGGAAAUUGAGUGUAGGGUUAUAGGUGAUAAGAUGAGGAGAGGCACUCCCCUCAGGAGUUAAGAUGCAGGAAAUUUGGUUUGCACUUUAGCCAGUACAAGGCAUUUCACCAGGAUGGAGAAUAUGUGCUCUCUUGCACAGAAAUCCGUGCCAGCAGUAAGUGAUGUGGAAGGAUUUAGUGAAAUUUUGCCAAUAACCCCAGGCUUACUGCUUAAUGAACAGAACAUUCUCCUGGGACUUGAAGAGGUCCUAUGAAAUAAGGGACAUAAAUGAUGUACUUUCUUUUCUGUUAGGCUUAAGAAAUUCUGUUCUGAGUGCAAAUAGAGGGAAUGAUUUCCGACUUUCCUAUUAGAUAGCAGAUAUCUUUGCAUCUUGGAUACAUUUAGAAAGAAUAGAAAUGUGAAUGAUUGAAACCUAGUCAGUCAAUUGAUUUAUUAGAAUUCCUGGAAGAAGUCUGAGUAAACACAAUCUCAUUCUCUUUCUUUUUCUCUCUGUCAGUUCUUCUUCUUGGGUUCCUAUACUAUGGGAUAUAAAUGAAACAGUGCAAUGUAAAACUAGUAUAAUGAUGGUCGAGAGUAGGUCCCCAAUAAAUCUUGGUUAUUACUGUUAUUGGAGAGAAUGAUGAAAUUUAAAGCUAGUGGGGGAAAAAGAAUCGUACAAACUGGAAAUGAAUUGGAAUGAGUGUUGCUUCAGGUUGCCCUCAAUUUGGUAUCAGUACCCUCAGUAAAUCAGAGUUGCUGUGACCUGGGCUUUGAUGUAAGGGUAGCAGAAUGAUUUAGAAAAAACAGCAUUAGAUUAAAAGCCAGAGACAUAUUAUAGUCCUAGUUCUUUCGCUUACUAGAGAUUUGACCUUGAAAAGCUUAAUUUGUUUAAAUCCCGUUUCCUCAUCUGAAAAAUGAAGACUGAUGAUAUCUGUCCUAACUCCAUCUUGUGAUGAUCCAAUGGAAUAAAGUGCUGUCAAAA
Homo sapiens (human) is the source of this 1983-nucleotide long non-coding RNA. Ensembl annotates it as long intergenic non-protein coding RNA 1876. The record is from Ensembl. NCBI's taxonomy places the organism in Eukaryota, Metazoa, Chordata, Mammalia, Primates, Hominidae.